GAUGAAGAACGUAGUGAAAUGCGAUACUUGGUGUGAAUUGCAGAAUCCCGUGAACCAUCGAGUCUUUGAACGCAAGUUGCGCCCGAAGCCACUAGGCCGAGGGCACGCCUGCCUGGGCGUCACACGCCGUUGCCCCCCCAUCUACUCCUUCGGGAUUGCGGGGGGGCGGAUGAUGGCCUCCCGUGCGCCUAGCCGCGCGGUUGGCAUAAAUACCAAGUCCUCGGCGACGCACGCCACGCCAAUCGGUGGUUGCGAAACCUCGGUUGCCCGUCGUGUGCGUUCGUCGCGCAUCGAGGGCUCGAAAAAAUGCUCGGCUCCGGCUGGGCUUUCAACGCGACCCCAGGUCAGGCGGGGUUACCCGCUGAAUUUAAGCAUAUCAAUAAGCGGAGGA
RNAcentral lists this unclassified non-coding RNA (391 nucleotides) under soil metagenome. RNAcentral's name for it is "partial contains 5.8S ribosomal RNA, internal transcribed spacer 2, and large subunit ribosomal RNA". The stretch from base 1 to 122 matches the Rfam family "5.8S ribosomal RNA", at positions 35 to 154 of the family's 154-position model. The record is from RNAcentral.